AGAACGAACGCUGGCGGCGUGGAUAAGACAUGCAAGUCGAACGGGAUUACUUCUAGUAGCAAUACCUGAAGUAAUUUAGUGGCGAACGGGUGCGUAACACGUGGGGAAUCUGCCGAGAAGUGGGGGGUAGCUCGUCGAAAGGCGAAUUAAUACCGCAUAUGAUCAGCCAAGACAUCUUGGCGACAUCAAAGCCGGGGCAACCUGGCGCUUCUUGAUGACCCCGCGGCCUAUCAGCUAGUUGGUGAGGUAACGGCCCACCAAGGCUAUGACGGGUAGCUGGUCUGAGAGGACGACCAGUCACACUGGAACUGAGACACGGUCCAGACACCUACGGGUGGCAGCAGUCGAGAAUUUUUUCCAAUGGGGGCAACCCUGAAGGAGCGACGCCGCGUGGAGGAUGAAGGCUUUCGGGUUGUAAACUGUCUUUUCUUUGGGAAGAGAACGGACGGUACCAGAGGAAUCGAGCCCCGGCUCACUACGUGCCAGCAGGCCGC
Molecule: ribosomal RNA, 494 nt
Filed under: uncultured bacterium
Lineage: Bacteria
Description: SSU rRNA
Rfam family: Bacterial small subunit ribosomal RNA
Source: RNAcentral